UGGGGAUUGUGCUAGUGGUGGCUGCUUGCUUUGUUUCUUGGGAGCUCCCCCAGCCUAGGAUCAGACAGAGAGCCUGAGCUCUGGGGCCUAGAACCCCAGUUCCCACUUGAACUAUGAGGCUGGUGACAGGAAUGGCUGUUCUCCUAACUUUGGGUAUCACGGGUGAUGCUAAAACCACACAGCCAAAUUCAAUGGAGAGUACUGAAGGAAAACGUGUAAACUUGCUUUGUAACCACUCCACAAUCAGUGGGAAUGAGUAUAUAUAUUGGUAUCGACAGAUUCCCCAUCAGGGUCCACAGUACGUGAUUCAUGGCAUAAAUAACAACGUGACCAAUGAAAUGGCCUCUCUGACCAUCCCUACUGGCAGAAAGACCAGUACCCUGAUCCUGCCCCACGUUACUCUGAGAGACACAGCUGUGUACUACUGCAUGGUGAGAGACACACAGUGGCUCUGAUGGGGCUACACCUGUGCAGUAUCUUCCU
Non-coding RNA from Trichechus manatus latirostris (Florida manatee), 483 nucleotides. The record is from the annotation of a RefSeq genome assembly. Lineage: Eukaryota; Metazoa; Chordata; Mammalia; Sirenia; Trichechidae.